CAGGGAGCAGUCCAUGCAAAAUCUUCACUGAGCCUUGCAGAUUAAGAGUACUCUGUGUGCACGAAAUUGGCGAAGGACAAAGCUCAUCAGAUUUCUCCAUUGGGAUGCUGUGAUCCUGUUUCUCUUGCAGAAACCCCUGAAAGACAGGUUGGAACCAACAUGGUGGAAGUGUCAAGGCCAAACCCCUACAUCCUGACGUUGGGAGAUAAUGACCAGCGCUGCGCUCAGGCAUUCGUCAUUCUGGUGGGACAUGCUCUGGAGCAAUACACACUACUUGGGGCGGUUGAUGUGUGCUUCAAGGCAUUUUAUAUUUUUGACAUUAACUAUCCAAAGCAGUGUGCUCCUGUAUAGGACUUUUUGUAAUGUUGCUAUGAAAUAGCGAGGCCUACUUGAAGAGUCAUAGACAGUGUUUAUAUGUUAAAACGGAACCAGGGCUGGAUAGUUUUGUUCUGCAAAAAGGAUAUCUAAUGUCACAGAGAGAUCCUGCUCUGUAGAAGCUGCCUCAGCCUAUUUGUGUUAUUACUCCAUUCUGCCCUUGUGAGUAAUAGUAUGGUAAUG
Molecule: long non-coding RNA, 558 nt
Organism: Clarias gariepinus (North African catfish)
Lineage: Eukaryota; Metazoa; Chordata; Actinopteri; Siluriformes; Clariidae
Exons: 3
Source: RefSeq, a predicted model, not a curated record